GGAGGGGUGGUCGAGUGGUUAAAGGCACCUGACUGUAAAUCAGGCCUCUUCGGAGUACGUAGGUUCGAAUCCUACCCCCUCCACCA
This 86-nucleotide transfer RNA is filed under the name Alphaproteobacteria bacterium. RNAcentral's name for it is "tRNA-Tyr". It matches the Rfam family "tRNA". From Rfam's summary of the family: Transfer RNA (tRNA) molecules are approximately 80 nucleotides in length. Their secondary structure includes four short double-helical elements and three loops (D, anti-codon, and T loops). Lineage: Bacteria; Pseudomonadati; Pseudomonadota; Alphaproteobacteria. The record is from RNAcentral.